Molecule: small nuclear RNA, 191 nt
Filed under: Microtus ochrogaster (prairie vole)
Lineage: Eukaryota; Metazoa; Chordata; Mammalia; Rodentia; Cricetidae
Description: U2 spliceosomal RNA (ENSMOCG00000010001.1)
Rfam family: U2 spliceosomal RNA
About the family: U2 is a small nuclear RNA (snRNA) component of the spliceosome (involved in pre-mRNA splicing).
Source: RNAcentral
AUCGCUUCUCGGCCUUUUGGCUAAGAUCAAGUAUAGUAUCUGUUCUUAUCAGUUUAAUAUCUGAUACCUCCUCUAUCCAAGGACAAUAUAUUAAAUGGAUUUUUGGAAGUAGGGGUUGGAAUAGGAACUUGCUCCGUCCACUCCACACAUUGACCUGGUAUUGCAGUACUUCCAAGAACGGUGCACCCCUA